ACCAGUGUCAAGGAAGUGCAGUUUGACUGGGGCGGUCGCCUCCUAAAAAGUAAACGGAGGCGCGCRAAGGUCCCCUCAGACUGGUCGGACAUCAGNUCGGAGAGUGUAAAGGCUAUAAGCGCGAGCUUGUACUGCGAGACCGUACAAGUCGAGCAGAUACGAAAGUAGGCCUUAGUGAUCCGAGCGGUUCGUGUCAGUGGAACGUGCUUGUCGCUCACACGCGAUAAAUAU
Molecule: ribosomal RNA, 231 nt
Filed under: uncultured Cryptomonas
Lineage: Eukaryota; Cryptophyceae; Cryptomonadales; Cryptomonadaceae
Description: partial 23S ribosomal RNA
Rfam family: Bacterial large subunit ribosomal RNA
Source: RNAcentral